GGGGGGGGGGGGGGGGGGGGGGGGGGGGGGGGGGGGGGGGGGGGGGGGGGGGCUUUUGGGGGUUGCGGGAGGGGCGGACGGGUGAGUGGCACGUGGGUAGCGGGCCGUGGACUGUGGGGUACCUUCUGGAGACUGGGGCUUGUACCGGAUAGGAGCUCCUGCUGCAUGGUGGGGCGUGGACAGUUUCGGCGGGUGGUGAGGGACUCGCGGCUUAUGAGCUUGUGGGUGGGGUAGUGGCUUACCAAGGCUUUGACGGGUAUCCGGCCUGAGAGGGUGACCGGCCACAUUGGGACUGAGAUACGGCCCAGACUCAUACGGGAGGCAGCAGUGGGGAAUAUUGCACAAUGGGCGGAAGCCUGAUGCAGCAACGCCGCGUGCGGGAUGACGGCCUUCGGGUUGUAAACCGCUUUCGCCUGUGACGAAGCGUGAGUGACGGUAAUGGGUAAAGAAGCACCGGCUAACUACGUG
Molecule: ribosomal RNA, 468 nt
Filed under: uncultured bacterium
Lineage: Bacteria
Description: partial 16S ribosomal RNA
Rfam family: Bacterial small subunit ribosomal RNA
Source: RNAcentral